RNAcentral lists this ribosomal RNA (502 nucleotides) under uncultured bacterium. RNAcentral describes it as "bacterial SSU rRNA". It matches the Rfam family "Bacterial small subunit ribosomal RNA", at positions 9 to 507 of the family's 1533-position model. The record is from RNAcentral.
CGAGUUUGAUCCUGGGCUCAGGAUGAACGCUAGCGGCAGGCUUAACACAUGCAAGUCGAGGGUAUUGGUUUCGGACCAAGAGACCGGCGCACGGGUGCGUAACGCGUAUGCAAUCUACCUUUGCAGAGGGAUAGCCCAGAGAAAUUUGGAUUAAUACCUCAUAGUAUAGUACUUUGGCAUCAAGGAACUAUUAAAGUCACAACGGCAAAAAGAUGAGCAUGCGUCCCAUUAGCUAGUUGGUAAGGUAACGGCUUACCAAGGCUACGAUGGGUAGGGGUCCUGAGAGGGAGAUCCCCCACACUGGUACUGAGACACGGACCAGACUCCUACGGGAGGCAGCAGUGAGGAAUAUUGGACAAUGGGCGCAAGCCUGAUCCAGCCAUGCCGCGUGCAGGAAGAAGGCCUUCGGGUUGUAAACUGCUUUUGUACGGAACGAAAAGGCUCUUUCUAAUAAAGAGGGCCCAUGACGGUACCGUAAGAAUAAGCACCGGCUAACUACGUG